UACGGGGGGGGCAAGCGUUGUUCGGAAUUACUGGGCGUAAAGGGCUCGUAGGUGGCCAACUAAGUCGGACGUGAAAUCCCGCGGCUUAACUGCGGGCUUGCGGUUGAUACGGGCGGGCUAGAGUUCGGUAGGGGAGACUGGAAUUCCUGGUGUAGCGGUGAAAUGCGCAGAUAUCAGGAGGAACACCGGUGGCGAAGGCGGCAUCCUGGACCAACACUGACGCUGAGGAGCGAAAGCCAGGGGAGCAAACGGG
Molecule: ribosomal RNA, 253 nt
Filed under: uncultured bacterium
Lineage: Bacteria
Description: partial 16S ribosomal RNA
Rfam family: Bacterial small subunit ribosomal RNA
Source: RNAcentral